Non-coding RNA from Alosa sapidissima (American shad), 431 nucleotides. The record is from the annotation of a RefSeq genome assembly. Lineage: Eukaryota; Metazoa; Chordata; Actinopteri; Clupeiformes; Clupeidae.
UGUGACUUUCAUUUCUUCAUCAGAUCAUGGAGCACGCCCGAGCCAUGCCACUCACAUCAGCCUCCUCAACACAAACAUGUUUCCUGAUGCUUAUACUGGUGGUGACAUGGGUAGAUUGUGCUAUUGAACACACUCAGCCCAGCUCCAUCAUGGUAAAGCCAGGAGAGUCUCUGACUGUUACCUGCAAAGUGACUGGAGCUUCCAUUACAGAUGGCAGCUACUAUGGAACAGCCUGGAUCCGUCAGGCAGCAGGGAGACCUCUAGAGUGGAUCAACACACUCCUCUACCAGAAUACCGAAUAUGAAAACAAUGCCCUGAAAAACAAGUUCAGCAUCUCCAGAGACACCUCCAGCAGCACUGUGACUCUACAGGGCCAGAAUCUACAGGCUGGAGACACAGCUGUGUACUACUGUGCCCGAGAGUCACUGUGA